CUAGAACACCAUACCUUAAACCAUCCCCUCUAAUUAUUACUCUGUUUCACAAAAGAUAUUUUUGAAACUCUUCACCUGCAACAAGUUGGGACACAUUUAUAAAGAACUACUUUGUCUUGCCCCAAGAAGAAAAAUCCAACGCCACCCUCCUUUGUCUUCGCUUUCCUAAUUAAGCUAAUUUCUAGCUGCCCUCUAGCCUCUCCGAGCGACCUCUUUUUGAGCACCAAAUACAAAUCCAAGCCUGCCUUUGUCCGUCUCUAAGCACAGUCGACCAAAACAUCACGGAACCCAUCAUCCGCUGCUGUUACCACACGCGAUCACCACCGUAGCCGUCGCCACUGCAGCACCAACGAACGUCCGCGAACCAACCGCAGGUAGCCGCAACCCUUUUGUUAUUGUAUAAGUUCCGUAUACCGAAUCAUUCUAGUCGAAUACGAUUUGUUUAAUCAUGAGAUCUCAUACUCGUUGAGGACAACUUGUAUCUAUAUCAUUUUGCUAAAUUGACUAAAG
RNAcentral lists this long non-coding RNA (510 nucleotides) under Helianthus annuus (common sunflower). The record is from RNAcentral. Lineage: Eukaryota; Viridiplantae; Streptophyta; Magnoliopsida; Asterales; Asteraceae.